CACGUAGGGCGCGAGCGUUGUCCGGAAUUAUUGGGCGUAAAGAGCUCGUAGGCGGCCUGUUGCGUCCGCUGUGAAAGCCCGGGGCUUAACCCCGGGUCGGCAGUGGAUACGGGCAGGCUAGAGGUAGGUAGGGGAGAAUGGAAUUCCCGGUGUAGCGGUGAAAUGCGCAGAUAUCGGGAGGAACACCGGUGGCGAAGGCGGGUAGCUGGGCCAACACUGACGCUGAGACGCGAAAGCUAGGGGAGCAAACGGG
RNAcentral lists this ribosomal RNA (253 nucleotides) under uncultured bacterium. RNAcentral's name for it is "partial 16S ribosomal RNA". It matches the Rfam family "Bacterial small subunit ribosomal RNA", at positions 524 to 776 of the family's 1533-position model. The record is from RNAcentral.